UAUGGCCAUACCACCCUAAACACGCCUGAUCUCGUCUGAUCUUGAAAGCUAAGCAGGGGUCGGGCCCUGGUUAGUACUUGGAUGGGAGAAAGGGAAAGUAAGAGCAAACCUGA
This 113-nucleotide ribosomal RNA is filed under the name Erinaceus europaeus (western European hedgehog). Lineage: Eukaryota; Metazoa; Chordata; Mammalia; Eulipotyphla; Erinaceidae. The record is from RNAcentral.